RNAcentral lists this ribosomal RNA (101 nucleotides) under Escherichia coli. The record is from RNAcentral. Lineage: Bacteria; Pseudomonadati; Pseudomonadota; Gammaproteobacteria; Enterobacterales; Enterobacteriaceae.
UGGCGGCAGUAGCGCGGUGGUCCCACCUGACCCCAUGCCGAACUCAGAAGUGAAACGCCCGAGCUGGGUUUAGAACGUCGUGAGACAGUUCGGUCCCUAUC